This 351-nucleotide transfer-messenger RNA is filed under the name Acutalibacteraceae. RNAcentral describes it as "Ruminococcus_E sp902787145 Standard tmRNA". It matches the Rfam family "transfer-messenger RNA". Rfam says of the family: Bacterial tmRNA, also known as 10Sa RNA or SsrA, is named for its dual tRNA and mRNA-like properties. Its role is to liberate the mRNA from a stalled ribosome. To accomplish this part of the tmRNA is used as a reading frame that ends in a translation stop signal. RNAcentral also lists the same sequence under 1 other name. The record is from RNAcentral. Lineage: Bacteria; Bacillati; Bacillota; Clostridia; Eubacteriales.
GGGGAUGUAAAGGUUUCGACGGGGGUUUUGAACCUUGGUAAGCGAGUAGCGGCGCGGAACCGCUAUAAAAGCCGCAAACUUUAAAACAACUGACACUAGAACAGUUAGAGCAGCAGCUUAAUUAUAGCUGCUUGUCCUCUCAGAGAGCACCGCGGCUCUGAUUUGGGCAUCGAUUAAGCGGUAAAUGUGAACCGGAGAACGCCUCGGCUUCGGUCACACAUAAGAGGCUACCGAGGGUAUAAGCCUGUUAUUGGGCGUAUAUCCGAGGGAAUUACAAUCCAAUAACUACACUCGUAGAAAGCCUUGGCUAGAGAUUUUCGGACGGGAGUUCAAUUCUCCCCAUCUCCACCA